Long non-coding RNA from Ochotona curzoniae (black-lipped pika), 172 nucleotides. RefSeq lists it as uncharacterized. The record is from RefSeq and is a predicted model, not a curated record. The transcript is spliced from 2 exons. NCBI's taxonomy places the organism in Eukaryota, Metazoa, Chordata, Mammalia, Lagomorpha, Ochotonidae.
CUUUUUGUCCAGAUAAGUUCAGCGGUUUCUUGGGGAGACCAUCUCUGGUUUGAAGGUGGAGCCAGCAGAAUAUCAUUCCAACAAUUAAAAGCCCUGAUGUAACAUUAGCAACAAUUUUUAACAUUAUGGAAUUAAUUGACAUGGUAUUGAGUAACUGGUAUGUUAAAAAAGA